Molecule: long non-coding RNA, 1810 nt
Organism: Macaca mulatta (Rhesus monkey)
Lineage: Eukaryota; Metazoa; Chordata; Mammalia; Primates; Cercopithecidae
Source: RefSeq, a predicted model, not a curated record
GAGCAUGCGCACUUUGGACGUGGGCGCGUGUGUGGAUUGGGAGGAGGUCGCGCUGUCCAUGGGCGUCCCUGGCCUGCGCCGCCCGGAGAUGAUAAAUAGCCAAAGAUGUCAGUGGCACUCAUGGACAUAGUAAGCAUAGUAGGAGCUGAAAAACUAGAAGCAAUGAAAAUGUCAACUAUUUUGACCUAAAAGAAGCAGUGUCUUCGGAACAUUUGGUCAUAAAACCAGAAAUUAAAGGAGGAGAAAAACAUUUUUCUGAAGCUUAUACUUUCACAUUUACUAGAGAGCAUAUUUGUAUGGAUGGGGUUGGGUAAACACUCAACAAAAGUUUCUUUAAAAAGAAGAAACCAUCCUGGUUUGAUGUUACAUAAUCACCAGUUAGCCACUGCUCCCUUCCCUCCCCAAACUGCCCUGUUGCUUGCAGGCUCACCUGAGCUGAGAGGCAGCCCUCACUCCCCAUUGGCACCUCACUGGGGCCUUCUUUAUACCCUGGAGAACUUCACAGGGAAUCUGUAUCUGUAACACAAAGGCUUCCUGGUCCAGAUGUAGAUACUAGGUCUGACUGGAUAUUUAAGUCCUGCGGACUUACUCUGCCACAAUUAUUUAAUCAUGUAAAAAUAAUUUAUAAUUCUUAUAAAGUAUCCCAUUCAUAAAAUAAUGAAUGUUGGGGUUAUUGCAUUUACUUGCACAUGUACAGUAUACAAGAUUAUACAUUAAUAAUAAUGUUUUCAAAUAGUUAUUGUCAAAGCUGUUUUUCUUAUGUUUAUGAAAGUGCUUAUGAAAUUAAUGUUUUAUGAGGCUAGAGAUGUAUAUUUUGUAAUUUCAUUCUGAUAUUUGUUAAUACUCACUUCCACUGCUGGGUUUGGUUGAUGAGAUUGGCAUUGUCUAAUUUCAAGCUUUUUGAGUGUGUACUCUUUCAUGGCAAGUAUGAAAUAACUAGUAAAAAAUAUACAAAUAUGCUUAACAAUCAGUAGACUUUCUCACAUUGAUUACUUACAACAGCUUUAGGUGGGGUGAAUCAGAUGCCUGUAUUACAGAAGCAUCUAAUGCAAAGCAAAAUCAAAUGACUUGUAUGAGCGCACAGAGGUAGGUGUGGAAGGAAGUGAAACACUAUUUUAGGUUUUAGUUACACUGUGCUGUGGUGUGCUGCCUCAUAUUUGCAUUAACCUGCAAAUACUAGGGGUUAUGAAUUGUUUCUAAGUCUAUUAUUAAAAAUAGCCUUGCUUCAUUUCUUCCUAAAAUGGAGACAAACGUGUAUAGUGUCUAUCUUACCAGUAUGUGUAAGAAUAAUAUCUUAAUGUGUGUAACAUGUUUAUAGGAACCUGUAUUUCAAAGAGCUAUUUUUGCAAGUGAGACUAACCUUCUAAGAAACUUUUUUAUUCAAACUUUUUUCUCCAUUUAUAACUGUUCUAUUAUUUCUUAAUGUUCAGAACCCUUUUCAUUAUCUAUAAGGCUAAGUUUUAGGUAAGUAAUAAGAAAAUAAUAACAUAUGGAAAAGAAAUGAAUGAGGACUCAAGAUGUCUGUCAAUUAAGAAUGAGUAUGUCAGCCCUUGUAUUAUGAUUUUACCUGGGAGGUGAUAAUUAUUGGAUGAUGUAAUGUAAGGGCAGUGAUACUACCUGGUAUGUAAGACUGUUAAAAUCACUGAGGUAAGAUAUUACUUGAACUAAGCACAGAAAUAGAGACAGAUUUUUAAUGCAUUUAAUUAUCAAAAUAUCUAAAUUAAAGAUUUAGUGUGGCUGUUCACUGGAAACAAAUGGCAGACAAACAGAAUAUUUCUUGGAGUCAUAAAUGACUUCAUACUGUUUCCAA